Molecule: ribosomal RNA, 459 nt
Filed under: uncultured bacterium
Lineage: Bacteria
Description: partial 16S ribosomal RNA
Rfam family: Bacterial small subunit ribosomal RNA
Source: RNAcentral
CCUACGGGUGACAGCAGUGAGGAAUAUUGGUCAAUGGUCGGGAGACUGAACCAGCCAAGCCGCGUGAGGGAGGAAGGUACAGAGUAUUGUAAACUUCUUUUGUCAGGGAACAAAGGCGGGGACGUGUGCCCGGACGAGGGUACUUGAAGAAAAAGCAUCGGCUAACUCCGUGCCAGCAGCCGCGGUAAUACGGAGGAUGCGAGCGUUAUCCGGAUUUAUUGGGUUUAAAGGGUGCGCAGGCGGUCUGUUAAGUCAGCGGUAAACGCCCGGGGCUCAACCCCGGCGCGCCGUUGAAACUGGCUGUCUCGAGUUGGCGAGAGGUAUGCGGAAUGCGCGGUGUAGCGGUGAAAUGCAUAGAUAUCGCGCAGAACUCCGAUGGCGAAGGCAGCAUGCCGGCUCCACACUGACGCUGAGGCACGAAAGCGUGGGUAUCGAACAGGAUUAGAUACCCGAGUAGUC